AAUGGACCUUACAUUUCUAAGGGGGAGUGUCCAGAAAUAAGCGCCACACCUGUGUGGCUCCCAGUGGGCCAGAGCGCCUGGGGGGCCUCCCAGGGAAACUCGGCCCCCGGGGGGCCUCCCCAGGGACUGUGCAACCCGGAGGACUUCCCAGGAGAUGGGAGCACCUGGGGACUUCGCAGGGGACCACACCCCUGGGGGGCCUCCCAGGGGACCGCAGAGCCUGGGGGGCCUCCGAGGGGAAGGGGUCUCCUGGGGACUUCGCAGAAGACCACAGAGCCUGGGGACUUCAGAGGGGACAACACCCUCUGGGAGACCUCUCAGGGGACCUCAGCACCUGGGGGACCCCCAGGGGACGAUUCCCAGCACGCCGACUCGAAUCACUUUCAGUGGCCAGCAAGGCUUCCUGAGAACCGACGAGACGUCCCGGGCUCCUGGGAGUUCACGGCUGGCCCGGCCUGGAGCGGACGAAGCGCCCGGACAGCGGCGCCGGACUCGCGUCCUGGUUCCAGCGGACGUGCCCUUCACAGAAGGCCCAGCGCCCUGGGUGCAGGGUGCGGGGUGCACCCUGCAUGUGGAACGCAGCUGCAUUUAUAAAGCAAUAAACGUUCUUCACAGGUUUAGGAC
This is a long non-coding RNA of Suricata suricatta (meerkat), 624 nucleotides long. RefSeq lists it as uncharacterized. The transcript has 2 exons. NCBI's taxonomy places the organism in Eukaryota, Metazoa, Chordata, Mammalia, Carnivora, Herpestidae. The record is from RefSeq and is a predicted model, not a curated record.